This 328-nucleotide long non-coding RNA is filed under the name Elaeis guineensis (African oil palm). RNAcentral describes it as "long non-coding RNA (EGUI_LNC082502)". The record is from RNAcentral. Lineage: Eukaryota; Viridiplantae; Streptophyta; Magnoliopsida; Arecales; Arecaceae.
CACCACGAAUUGAUGAUCAUGGAUAUCUUUAGAAGGUCCCUUGAAGCUGCACAAGCAUCUGGCCUCUAUAAAUAUCCACAUGAGGCUUCGAUCUGAUCAGAAGCUUCAUGAUCUCACCGGAAUGCUAGCUCUCUUGCAGAAAUUGCAUCUUGAUAGUUGAAUAAUCUUCUUUUCUUUCAAGACACUCUUAGAGAAGAAGAAGAAAAUAGGAGGAUGAUGAUCUCUAUGCUAGAGAUCAUGAGAAGAAUCUUUUCUUCUUUUUUAUUCCUAAAAUCUAUAUACCAAAUCUCUAUGCUAGAGAUGUAGAAAAUUCAUGUCCAACUCUUGG